UCCUAGCCCAGAUAGUAGUGGAAAUCUUUUUUUGUGAAAAAGCUAUUUUUGUUUUUGCAAAAAAGCGACCAAAGGAAGCUCUUUUUGUGACUUACAAAAAUGGGUUGAAACAAGAAAACUUGCAACGUAUAGCUGGAUUGGCU
Molecule: small RNA, 143 nt
Filed under: Flavobacterium aquatile LMG 4008 = ATCC 11947
Lineage: Bacteria; Pseudomonadati; Bacteroidota; Flavobacteriia; Flavobacteriales; Flavobacteriaceae
Description: Flavobacterium aquatile LMG 4008 Flavo-1 RNA
Rfam family: Flavo-1 RNA
Source: Rfam by way of RNAcentral